CGGGGUGUAGCUCAGCCUGGCCAGAGCGCUACGUUCGGGACGUAGAAGUCGCGAGUUCAAAUCCCGCCACCCCGA
This 75-nucleotide transfer RNA is filed under the name Deltaproteobacteria bacterium. Its description in RNAcentral is "tRNA-Pro". It matches the Rfam family "tRNA". From Rfam's summary of the family: Transfer RNA (tRNA) molecules are approximately 80 nucleotides in length. The record is from RNAcentral. Lineage: Bacteria; Pseudomonadati; Myxococcota; Myxococcia.